Molecule: ribosomal RNA, 728 nt
Filed under: Actinomycetes bacterium
Lineage: Bacteria; Bacillati; Actinomycetota; Actinomycetes
Description: bacterial SSU rRNA
Rfam family: Bacterial small subunit ribosomal RNA
Source: RNAcentral
UGCACUUUGGGAUAAGCCUGGGAAACUGGGUCUAAUACCGGAUAGGACUACGCACUGCAUGGUGUGUGGUGGAAAGCUUUUGCGGUGUGGGAUGGGCCCGCGGCCUAUCAGCUUGUUGGUGGGGUGAUGGCCUACCAAGGCGACGACGGGUAGCCGGCCUGAGAGGGUGACCGGCCACACUGGGACUGAGAUACGGCCCAGACUCCUACGGGAGGCAGCAGUGGGGAAUAUUGCACAAUGGGCGCAAGCCUGAUGCAGCGACGCCGCGUGAGGGAUGACGGCCUUCGGGUUGUAAACCUCUUUCGCCAGGGACGAAGCGCAAGUGACGGUACCUGGAGAAGAAGGACCGGCCAACUACGUGCCAGCAGCCGCGGUAAUACGUAGGGUCCGAGCGUUGUCCGGAAUUACUGGGCGUAAAGAGCUCGUAGGUGGUUUGUCGCGUUGUUCGUGAAAACUCACAGCUUAACUGUGGGCGUGCGGGCGAUACGGGCAGACUGGAGUACUGCAGGGGAGACUGGAAUUCCUGGUGUAGCGGUGGAAUGCGCAGAUAUCAGGAGGAACACCGGUGGCGAAGGCGGGUCUCUGGGCAGUAACUGACGCUGAGGAGCGAAAGCGUGGGGAGCGAACAGGAUUAGAUACCCUGGUAGUCCACGCCGUAAACGGUGGGUACUAGGUGUGGGUUUCCUUCCUUGGGAUCCGUGCCGUAGCUAACGCAUUAAGUACCCCGC